Molecule: ribosomal RNA, 395 nt
Filed under: uncultured bacterium
Lineage: Bacteria
Description: bacterial SSU rRNA
Rfam family: Bacterial small subunit ribosomal RNA
Source: RNAcentral
UAACGCGAAGAACCUUACCAGGUCUUGACAUCUUCUGCUAACCUAAGAGAUUAGGCGUUCCCUUCGGGGACGGAAUGACAGGUGGUGCAUGGUUGUCGUCAGCUCGUGUCGUGAGAUGUUGGGUUAAGUCCCGCAACGAGCGCAACCCUUAUUGUCAGUUGCCAGCAUUUAGUUGGGCACUCUGGCGAGACUGCCGGUGACAAACCGGAGGAAGGUGGGGAUGACGUCAAAUCAUCAUGCCCCUUAUGACCUGGGCUACACACGUGCUACAAUGGACGGUACAACGAGUCGCGAAACCGCGAGGUCAAGCUAAUCUCUUAAAGCCGUUCUCAGUUCGGAUUGUAGGCUGCAACUCGCCUACAUGAAGUUGGAAUCGCUAGUAAUCGUGGAUCAGC